UAGCCUAACCUGCAGCUAAAACUUUAAAGAG
RNAcentral lists this non-coding RNA (31 nucleotides) under Mus musculus (house mouse). The record is from RNAcentral. Lineage: Eukaryota; Metazoa; Chordata; Mammalia; Rodentia; Muridae.